AGAUACAGUCAGAGAAAUAUUUAUAAAUUUUGACAGCAUCUGUUCAGAUGUUGAUGGGGAAAUUACAAUCAGAGAAUUAUGGAGCUGAGAAAUUGAAUAGAUACAUCAAUGAAAUUAACCAGCGUAGAUGAAAUAGUAGGAGAAAUAACAAAAUACGUACUCUGAAAACAGGGAUGCAAUUACUUUCUUGCAAGAUACAUCUGGAAAUAUUCUUAAGCAUUUGUUCAGGCAUUGAUGGGAAAAUUAUAACAAAGAAAUUAUGGAGUAGACAAAUUGAGUAGAUAGAUUAAAGAACUUAACCAGUGUAGAUGAAAUACUAGAAGAAAUAACAGAUUCGUACUCCGAAAACAGGGAUGCAAUUACCAUCUUGCAGGAUACAUCUGAAAAUAUUCUUAAGAUAAGAGAAAUAUUAAACAUUAUUUUCUUCAAUGAAUCCUUUAUUUCAAAUUAAUGUUGUUGAGUACAAUGUUUGAAUAUAUAAUAAUAUGAUUUCCUUUCCUUUAUUUUCAGGAUUUACUCAGACAUUGAUGAGGAAAUUGCAACUAAAAAAUUAUGCAGUAGAAAAGUUUGAUAGAUACAGUGAAGAAAUUAUCCAAAGAAGAGGAUUAUUAAAUCAGAUAGACAAAUUAUUUUAUUUCAUCUAAUCACUUCACAUUAUUUUUUACUAUUUUUCACUUAGGUUAUUUAUUGGUAUUUAUUUAUCUUGAAUAUUUUACUUCUUUUAACUACUCUAACUUUAGAUGAAUGUACUACUUUUCAUUUUAUUUAUUUCACUUAUCUCAUUUCAUUUUACUUAGUUGUUAUACUUAUUUUGUUUGUAUAUUUAUUUUCCCUAUUUUCUUAUUUUAGCUAACAUGGUACAAAUUAGUUUCUACGUAGAACACUAUAGUAUUUGUUAGAAUUUUAUUCUGUGAUUAAUCCCCUUCGACGGUUCUGGGCACCAUGACUUCGGGUCAUCGGCCACACGCGCGUUCCUUCGAGAAUCGGCGAUCGAACUCUCUAUCGCCGUUCCAUAAACAAAACAUCCGCGACUCUUAGAAUUCGUCGCACCUCAAGUAUCAACCACCGCCGGCCCAAGUCCGAUGACAGACAUAUGGCUCGGGGUAUCGAUAGCCUAAAGAAUCCUAAGAAAUCCUUGAAACUCAGGUCAAAGCCCAAAAUGCAUUGACCCUGACACGUGUCAACCCUUGAACACGUGCUGAAGCUAACAUAUUAAUAACAAGUAAGAUAGUUAAGAAAGUAAGAAAAUGGAAAAUGGAAAAAUAUAUUAAAAACUUUGUAACAGGUUUGGGAACGCUCCUCAUAAAAGCGCCAGGCAAUCCUGCAGGGGAAGUUUAAUAAACUUAUCUAUCUACUUA
Molecule: non-coding RNA, 1358 nt
Organism: Osmia lignaria (orchard mason bee)
Lineage: Eukaryota; Metazoa; Arthropoda; Insecta; Hymenoptera; Megachilidae
Source: RefSeq, a predicted model, not a curated record